RNAcentral lists this transfer RNA (74 nucleotides) under Solirubrobacterales bacterium. RNAcentral describes it as "tRNA-Pro". It matches the Rfam family "tRNA". From Rfam's summary of the family: Transfer RNA (tRNA) molecules are approximately 80 nucleotides in length. Their secondary structure includes four short double-helical elements and three loops (D, anti-codon, and T loops). Lineage: Bacteria; Bacillati; Actinomycetota; Thermoleophilia; Solirubrobacterales. The record is from RNAcentral.
CGGGGCGUGGCGCAGCCUGGUAGCGCGCACCGUUCGGGUCGGUGAGGCCCCCGGUUCAAAUCCGGGCGCCCCGA